UCCUGCUUAGACGGUAAAGCAUCUGCCUACAAUGCGGGAGACCCGGGUUCAAUCCCUGGGUCGGGAA
RNAcentral lists this transfer RNA (67 nucleotides) under Bos taurus (domestic cattle). It matches the Rfam family "tRNA". From Rfam's summary of the family: Transfer RNA (tRNA) molecules are approximately 80 nucleotides in length. Their secondary structure includes four short double-helical elements and three loops (D, anti-codon, and T loops). The record is from Rfam by way of RNAcentral. Lineage: Eukaryota; Metazoa; Chordata; Mammalia; Artiodactyla; Bovidae. RNAcentral also lists the same sequence under 5 other names.